This is a small nuclear RNA of Callithrix jacchus (white-tufted-ear marmoset), 107 nucleotides long. NCBI's taxonomy places the organism in Eukaryota, Metazoa, Chordata, Mammalia, Primates, Cebidae. The record is from Ensembl.
GUGCCUGCUUCAGCAGCACAUAUACUAAAAUUGUAACGGUACAGAGAAGAUUAGCGUAGCCCCUGUGCAUAGAUGAUAUGCAAAUUUGUGAAGCAUUACAUUUUUUA